Molecule: ribosomal RNA, 486 nt
Filed under: bacterium A4F7
Lineage: Bacteria
Description: bacterial SSU rRNA
Rfam family: Bacterial small subunit ribosomal RNA
Source: RNAcentral
CCUACAGCGAGGCAGCACAGCGGCGAUCUGUGCGCAUUAGGGCGAAAGCCUGACGCAGCAACGCCGCGUGGGGGAUGAAGGCCUUCGGGUUGUAAACACCUUUCAGUGGGAACCAAAUUGACGGUACCCACAAAACAAGCCCCGGCCAACUACGUGCCAACACGCCGCGGUGAUACAUAUGGGGCGAGCGUUGUCCGGAUUCAUUGGACGUAAAGAGCUCGUACGCGGCUUGGUAAGUCGGGUGUGAAACCCCCAGGCUCAACCUGGGGACGCCACUCUAUACUGCCAUAGCUCGAGUCCGGUAGGGGACCACGGAAUUCCUGGUGUAGCGGGGAAAUGCCCAGAUAUCAGGCAGGAACACCAGUGGCGAAGGCGGUGGUCUGGGCCGGCACUGACGCUCAGGAGCGAAAGCGUGGGGAGCGAACAGGAUUAGAUACCCUGCUAGUCCACGCCGUACACGUUGGGUACUAGGUGUGGGGCCUUAUC